Molecule: small nuclear RNA, 107 nt
Organism: Molossus molossus (Pallas's mastiff bat)
Lineage: Eukaryota; Metazoa; Chordata; Mammalia; Chiroptera; Molossidae
Source: RefSeq, a predicted model, not a curated record
GAGCUCACUUCAGCAGCACGUACACUAAAGGUGGAAUGAAACAGAGAAGAUUAGCUUGGUCCCUGUGCAAGAAUGACAUGCAAAUUUGUGAAGCAUUUUAUAUUUUU